GUGUCAAUUUGUGCGCUAACCUAGAUCCCAUAAAGGGUGCUUGUCGAUUAAGACAGCAGGACAGUGGUCACAAAAAUUGAAAUCCGCUAAGCAAUGUGUAGCAAAUCACCUGCCCAAUCAAAUAGCCCCAAAAUGGAUGACACUUAAAUGCACGAC
RNAcentral lists this non-coding RNA (156 nucleotides) under Solanum tuberosum (potato). RNAcentral's name for it is "rRNA LSU_rRNA_eukarya". It matches the Rfam family "Eukaryotic large subunit ribosomal RNA", at positions 1185 to 1341 of the family's 3401-position model. Lineage: Eukaryota; Viridiplantae; Streptophyta; Magnoliopsida; Solanales; Solanaceae. The record is from Rfam by way of RNAcentral.